RNAcentral lists this ribosomal RNA (497 nucleotides) under uncultured bacterium. RNAcentral describes it as "partial 16S ribosomal RNA". It matches the Rfam family "Bacterial small subunit ribosomal RNA", at positions 28 to 507 of the family's 1533-position model. The record is from RNAcentral.
GACGAACGCUGGCGGCGUGCCUAAUACAUGCAAGUUGAGCGCUGAAGGUUGGUACUUGUACCAACUGGAUGAGCAGCGAACGGGUGAGUAACGCGUGGGGAAUCUGCCUUUGAGCGGGGGACGACAUUUGGAAACGAAUGCUAAUACCGCAUAAAAACUUUAAACACAAGUUUUAAGUUUGAAAGAUGCAAUUGCAUCACUCAAAGAUGAUCCCGCGUUGUAUUAGCUAGUUGGUGAGGUAAAGGCUCACCAAGGCGAUGAUACAUAGCCGACCUGAGAGGGUGAUCGGCCACAUGGGGACUGAGACACGGCCCAAACUCCUACGGGAGGCAGCAGUAGGGAAUCUUCGGCAAUGGACGAAAGUCUGACCGAGCAACGCCGCGUGAGUGAAGAAGGUUGUCGGAUCGUAAAACUCUGUUGGUAGAGAAGAACGUUGGUGAGAGUGGAAAGCUCAUCAAGUGACGGUAACUACCCAGAAAGGGACGGCUAACUACGUG